Molecule: ribosomal RNA, 266 nt
Filed under: uncultured prokaryote
Description: partial 16S ribosomal RNA
Rfam family: Bacterial small subunit ribosomal RNA
Source: RNAcentral
UACGUAGGUGGCAAGCGUUAUCCGGAUUUACUGGGUGUAAAGGGCGUGUAGGCGGGUCUGCAAGUCAGAUGUGAAAUCUCCGGGCUUAACUCGGAAGUGUCAUCUGAAACUACGGAUCUUGAGUACUGGAGAGGAUAGUGGAAUUCCUAGUGUAGCGGUAAAAUGCGUAGAUAUUAGGAGGAACACCAGUGGCGAAGGCGGCUAUCUGGACAGUAACUGACGCUGAGGCGCGAAAGCGUGGGGAGCAAACAGGAUUAGAUACCCGU